AUGGUCCCGGCCGUCGCCCCUAUAAAUUCCUCCGUCCCGUCGCCAUGCAUUGCGCAGGUCGAUCAGGAGAUCGAGCAGGUACCGGCCAUGGACUACUACCGCGAGACCUACGGCGGGUACGGGAUGGCGACGCCCGGGUACGCGGCGCCGGUGCCGUACGGCAUGUCGCAGGUGAACAUCGACGGCAACUACGGCGGGAGGCCGAUGCCGCCGCAGCCCACGGUGAAGAUCUACUGCCGCGCCAACCCCAACUACGCCAUGUCCGUCCGCAACGGCAAGGUGGUGCUGGCGCCGGCCAACCCCAAGGACGACUACCAGCACUGGAUCAAGGACAUGAGGUGGAGCACCAGCAUCAAGGACGAGGAGGGCUACCCCGCCUUCGCCAUGGUGAACAAGGCCACCGGGCAGGCCAUCAAGCACUCCCUCGGCCAGUCCCACCCUGUGCGUCUGGUGCCGUACAACCCAGACUACCUGGACGAGUCGGUGCUGUGGACGGAGAGCAGGGACGUGGGCAACGGGUUCAGGUGCGUGCGCAUGGUGAACAACAUCUACCUCAACUUCGACGCCCUCAACGGCGACAAGUACCACGGCGGCGUCCGCGACGGCACCGAGGUCGUGCUCUGGAAGUGGUGCGAGGGCGACAACCAGCGCUGGAAGCUCCAGCCGUACUACUGA
Molecule: ribosomal RNA, 675 nt
Filed under: Triticum aestivum (bread wheat)
Lineage: Eukaryota; Viridiplantae; Streptophyta; Magnoliopsida; Poales; Poaceae
Description: partial small subunit ribosomal RNA
Source: RNAcentral